Molecule: ribosomal RNA, 497 nt
Filed under: uncultured bacterium
Lineage: Bacteria
Description: partial 16S ribosomal RNA
Rfam family: Bacterial small subunit ribosomal RNA
Source: RNAcentral
GAUGAACGCUGGCGGCGUGCCUAAUACAUGCAAGUCGAGCGAACGGACGAGAAGCUUGCUUCUCUGAUGUUAGCGGCGGACGGGUGAGUAACACGUGGAUAACCUACCUAUAAGACUGGGAUAACUUCGGGAAACCGGAGCUAAUACCGGAUGAUAUUUUGAACCGCAUGGUUCAAAAGUGAAAGACGGUCUUGCUGUCACUUAUAGAUGGAUCCGCGCUGCAUUAGCUAGUUGGUAAGGUAACGGCUUACCAAGGCAACGAUGCAUAGCCGACCUGAGAGGGUGAUCGGCCACACUGGAACUGAGACACGGUCCAGACUCCUACGGGAGGCAGCAGUAGGGAAUCUUCCGCAAUGGGCGAAAGCCCGACGGAGCAACGCCGCGUGAGUGAUGAAGGUCUUCGGAUCGUAAAACUCUGUUAUUAGGGAAGAAUAUAUGUGUAAGUAACUGUGCACAUCUUGACGGUACCUAAUCAGAAAGCCACGGCUAACUACGUG